RNAcentral lists this long non-coding RNA (1012 nucleotides) under Salmo salar (Atlantic salmon). Its description in RNAcentral is "lncRNA (ENSSSAG00000107225.1)". Lineage: Eukaryota; Metazoa; Chordata; Actinopteri; Salmoniformes; Salmonidae. The record is from RNAcentral.
UCAUUUCAAUUAGCCACAGCCAAAGUCACAAUGAUAUCUAUAAGAAAUUGUGAAAUAUUUUAUUCAAUAUUGUCUGUCUCCUUUGCCAGCAAAAAGGACAAAUGUUUUCUGGUAACAUUUAGAGUAUCCUAUCUUAUUGCAUUGACUAAAUAAAAUGAAUGUAAUUAAAAACAUUAUAUUUUGCCUAUUUUCUAGAAACGUGUAUAGAGAAUAGCAAUAAUGUCAUAAGUUGAUGCUUAUUGUUUAUUAUGAUUCAAAUCAUUUAAAUGUCUACUUUUUCAUAAAAUGUUGUGGUUUAAAAAGAGCACAUUUCUGCCCAAUGCCAGUUAAAAUGUCCAAAAUAGCACAUAUUUCUAUGACAGUAUAAUGCUUUUGCCAGAGUGUUGCACAUGCUUAAAGUGGUUAUGCACAUUUGAGUUCACAUUCAGGCUCCCGAGCUGUGAAUACCUUGCUACUUUAAUAUCAGUUUAUACACAUUUUCUGUAUUCCUUUUCACACGACAGUCAAACCGAGCCGAGUUGAACUGUACUGCGCUGAGCUGGUUACUCAAAAAAAAAAAUAUCUGAUAUGCUUCAGGUUGGCUCCAUAGAGUGAAUCAGCUACAGGUUGGCUCCAUAGAGUGAAUCAGCUACAGGUUGGCUCCAUAGAGUGAAUCAGCUACAGGUUGGCUCCAUAGAGUGAAUCAGCUACAGGUUGGCUCCAUAGAGUGAAUCAGGUACAGGUUGGCUCCAUAGAGUGAAUCAGCUACAGGUUGGCUCUAUAGAUUGAAUCAGGUACAGGUUGGCUCUAUAGAUUGAAUCAGGUACAGGUUGGCUCUAUAGAGUGAAUCAGCUACAGGUUGGCUCUAUAGAGUGAAUCAGGUACAGGUUGACUCUAUAGAGUGAAUCAUGUACAGGUUGGCUCUAUAGAGUGAAUCAGGUACAGGUUGGCUCUAUAGAGUGAAUCAGGUAUAGGUUGACUCUAUAGAGUGAAUCAGGUACAGGUUGACUCUAUAGAGUGAAUCAGGUACAGG